This 1479-nucleotide long non-coding RNA is filed under the name Ornithorhynchus anatinus (platypus). RNAcentral's name for it is "lncRNA (ENSOANG00000049091.1)". The stretch from base 904 to 975 matches the Rfam family "tRNA". The record is from RNAcentral. Lineage: Eukaryota; Metazoa; Chordata; Mammalia; Monotremata; Ornithorhynchidae.
UGGGAUUCGAACUCAUGACCUCUGACUCCAAAGCCCAUGCUCUUUCCACUGAGCCAGCUGUGUGACUGUGGGCAAGUCACUUAACUUCUCUGGGCCUCAGUUACCUCAUCUGGAAAAUGGGGAUUAACUGUGAGCCUCACGUGGGACAACCUGAUUCCCCUGUGUCUACCCCAGCGCUUAGAACAGUGCUCUGCACAUAGUAAGUGCUUAACAAAUACCAACACAGCUGACAAGUGGCAGAGCCGGGAUUUGAACCCAUGACCUCUGACUCCCCAGCCCAGGCUCUUUCCACUGAGCCACUUAUCCGUGUAGUUCUUCAUUCACGUGCAGUGCUUUGCACACCUACUAAUUACUUCCACUUCAGCUCUCUGCCAAAUCUGCGUAGAUAUAUGUGGACUAUUUGCAUACACGCAGAUGUCGUGAUUUACCCCAUUUGAUUUAAUUGUAUCUGAGCGCUUACUGUGUGCAGAGCACUAUAGUAAGUGCUUGGGCGAGUACAGUGUAACAAUAAAAACCUUCCCUGUCCACAACGAGCUUACAGUCUAGAGAACUUAUGUGACUUAAGCAACAGAAGCCAGAAACCUUUCCCCUCUGGGGCUUUGUGACCUCACCAGCCCUCUCCAGCCUCCUGUGACCUCACUCCCCGAGCAGGGCUGCCCCAUCAAGCUUCUCUUGCCCACUUGCCUCGGAACACCUGAAAGUGGCAGUGGGCCUACAUGACCACCGUUUCACCCAGAGAGUCCAGAGCGGCUCUCAGCCCUGAAAAUGGAGUUGACAUGGCCACCAUGGACCUAAGCAACGAGGAGUCCCAGGAGGCGGAAGUGACAGAUCCAGCAGAGAGAGGAUUCUGGUUGAGCCAGUGUGGCCUAGGCUAUUCUAGCCCUUGCUGCCUGUCAUCCAGAAGGCAGCGUGGCCUAGUGGAAAGAGCCCGAGCUUGGGAGUCAGAAGACUUGGGUUCUAAUCCCAGCUCUGCCGAUUGCUUGCUGUGGGUCCUUGUGCAAGUCUCUUCACUUCUCCCUGCCUCAGUUCCCCCAACUGUAAAAUGGGGACUAAAUGCUACUCCCUCCUCCUUAGACCGUGAGCCCCGUGUGGGACAGGGACUGUGUCCAACCUGAUUAAUUUGUAUCUAUAAUAAUAAUAAUUAUGGUAUUUGUUAAGCGCUUACUAUGCACCAAGCACUGUUCUAAGCACUGGGGUAGAUACAGGGUAAUCAGGUUGUCCCACGUGGGGCUCACACUUUAAUCCCCAUUUUACAGAUGAGGUAACUGAGGCACAGAGAAGUUAAGUGACUCGCCCAAGGUCACACAGGAGACAAGUGGCAGAGGCGGGAUUAGAACCCACGUCCUUUGACUCCCAAGCCUGUGCUCUUUCCAUUAAGCCACGCUGCUUCAUCCCAGAGCUCAGAGAAUUGCUUGACACAUAGUAAGCCUUUAACGAAUAUAAUAAUAAUAUUAAUAAUGAUAGUAAUAUUAAGUGGUG